AAUCGGGGCCAACUGAGGUGCAUGAAAAACUCUAGCUUGUGUUGUUUUGCUAGAAAACUCUCAACCAUGAACCUCAAAUGCUUGUGUAUGUUUUGCAGGCCAGUGAUUUCAUUCACACCCCGGACUACUCAUACCAACAUCAAAUUCUCGUCAUCCUGCUCCAAAGCCGUCGGAAGCGUCAAGGAGAUGGGUCUUAUUCUUCCUUGUGAUGGCGUUGAUGUGGUAGGUGCUGGACUUGUUGUUCCAAUCGCUGAGGGCAUUCUACAGCUUGGUGCAUGCCGAAGAAUUGUCCCGGCUGGUCUAAAAUCCUGAAGCACCUAAUUUUUUCGAGCAAUAUAAGGGAGGAAAACACAGAGGCGGGCGGCUGGAGCUCGUCUUUCUUCAUUUCAACCUCCGUUUGCAGGUUGAAGAGCUUCACCUCGUCCUGGUCCUUGCCAUCUCACUGUGCGACCAUGACCCCGGUUGCGAUCAACUCCCUGUGGUGGUGGCUCCAGGUCAUCAUCGAUUGUUGCUCUAGGUGCUAACAAGAAAGCUUGUUGGUGUCUAGGUUGAGGAUUGUUUGUUGGAGUGUCUGCCAAAGCAUCAGGCAUGGAGCUGAGGCGCGAUAUCACUGACGGAGCAUUGGCGGAUCUAGCGGUCUUCCCAAAACAACGUGGUCUGUCCGAGAGGGCAUGUUUCAAUACCAGGAAUUGGAGUUCAAGGCUGCUCCAGACUCGGUUCCUAUCGGUGCGGCUGUACCAGAGCCAGCGAAGGCAGAGGGAAAUGCCGGCUUCUCUCUUCCCAAGGCCACUGCUGCCUGUCUUAAUCUAGGUGGCUCUACCAUAUGAAGGUAUUUGGCGAGCUGAGCCUUCUUUGGCCAGUGGUAGCUGGACGUGAUGCUGGAUCUGUCAAAUGCCAUGGCGCUCGCGAAGGGGGAGAAGUGGAGUCGGCAUGUAUGCAGCGACAGUGAAGGACGCAUAGGUGGCCAGGAGGGAACCUUGGUUGCGGAAAGUAUAAUGCUUGUUCUGGAUAUGAGAACGGAUAGUGCUUCUCUGAUAUGGGCAGGUUGCAUGUGUCAAGUAGCUAAUAUAUAUGUUGGCAUAAUUUAGCUUGGUUAGUGAUUGAGUCAGUUUGGUUCCCGUGGCUGCUAGCAAGUCUGGCCGUAUAAUUGCAAUGUAACUUUCUCAGCUUUGCUCUGGUCUAAUAAUAUGCACUCUUUUUUU
Lolium perenne is the source of this 1202-nucleotide long non-coding RNA. RefSeq lists it as uncharacterized. Lineage: Eukaryota; Viridiplantae; Streptophyta; Magnoliopsida; Poales; Poaceae. The record is from RefSeq and is a predicted model, not a curated record.